This 71-nucleotide transfer RNA is filed under the name Acidimicrobiia bacterium. Its description in RNAcentral is "tRNA-Gln". It matches the Rfam family "tRNA". From Rfam's summary of the family: Transfer RNA (tRNA) molecules are approximately 80 nucleotides in length. Lineage: Bacteria; Bacillati; Actinomycetota; Acidimicrobiia. The record is from RNAcentral.
UUCCGGGUCGUCCAACGGCAGGACGCCGGGACUUGGACCCGGAGAGGAGGUUCGAUUCCUGCCCCCGGAGC